CACACUUCUUACCAAUGCCUGCUUUUUGUUGAAGCCUAUUUACCCAUGAAAACAAGGCUUCUAGUUAUAAAAGUUGUUUUUGCCCGGCCUCAGCAGGUCACCUUGAUGUCAUGUGGAAACUCCUGUCCACCUAGCCAGGCAGGGUGGAGGGAGGUCAGACGGGGGCGAUGCAAGUUUGCACUUUGGCUCUGACAUUUACAGAGUGACUCAUGUUGAUGCGGGACUUUCCCAUGGAGAGAAAUUCCGAGGGAAAAGUACUGAGUGCUUUGCCCUCAUUUCUGUGCAGGACACAGGCCCAGGAAGGCAGUUAUUCACCUUACAGCAUGGAGGAGGUCAUCAACAGAGGCCGUUUGGAGCCUUCCAGGGCCUGUUCUCACAGGCAAAUUCCCGACCUUCUUCUCCUCAGAACAAAUCAUGCUUUGGCAAUAGCAUUCAAAGGCCAAGAAGAGCAAAGGUGCUGGGACGAACCCAGGGCCUUGAUAUGCCAGGGAAGCCAUCUAACGCAGCUCCGCACCCCAGCCGGAAUCAUGCAUUUCCGCUUCAAAACCAUGAAGUAGCUCGACCAAAUGCAUUUAAAGCACCGCUGCUCUAGGGGCUCAGAGUCCUUUCGAGGUGCUUUGGGAUCGAACUCGGGACCUCGCCCUUGCGAGGCAGGUGCUGGAACCACUGAGCUAAAUCCCCAGCCCGAAGAUGGAUUAACAUGUAGUCUGGGAACAGCUGUGCGCACACACACUGGGCCGAAACUCUCAAGCUUGAUCUGACUCCACACUGGACGUGCAAAUUCAAGGUCUCCACACAUUUGUUCUGAGCCAGAAAGUGUCUGCUGUCAGGCCCAGGCAGUGCCCCACAUAGGUAAGAUGUGCGGAGCGGCUCGUCUGGCGGCAUCCGGUGGGGGGGCUGAGAAUUCUAGGGUCCCCAUGGCGGAGCCCGAAGGUACAUAUGGACGUCACCUCAGAGCCAGGUGCAGUCGGACCUCCGAAUGAAGGGCUGUGAAGCUGUGAUUCCAUUCUGAGGCAGUGAAACUGUAGUGCUUUGCUUUGCUUUGUGUUUUUUUUUUGGUACCGGGGAUCGAACUCAGGUCCUUACGCUUGCGCAGCAGGCGGCGAAACCACUGAGCCAAAUCCCCAGCCCUGCUUUACAUUGCUUUGUUUUGUUUUGUUUUGAGACAGGGUCUGGCUUUGUAGUCCAGGAGGGUCUGGAGAUCCCGGCAGCCCUCCUACCUCAGCCUCCCAAGUGCAGCGGUUACAGGUGUGCAUCACCAUGCCUUGCCAGUGCUCUUUAAAACCAGCGAUUAGAAAACAAGAAUAGAGGAAAGCACUGGGUGCCCAGCAGAACUGGCUGGAGGUGACACUGCCCACAUGCACCCCACUUGGGGGGGGCCUGGUGUCCCUCUGGUCGCUGGAUCAGGCUCCUGCCAAUCGCAAUCAGCACCCUCUUGCACAGAGGCCGGCACUGGUCCCCACCAGGCUGCCUCCCGCCCUGCGCAGGGGAUCCCAUGUGGGAUGCUGGCGAAGCUCAACAGACCUCCAUUGCUGCUUGACAAAGUUCCAGCUGGAGGAAAGAAAGGGUGGAACACAUCGUACCCUCAUGUUUUAUUUUUUCUAGCCAUAAUGUUUAUAACUGUUACUCUGAUCACAGGAGUCAUUGUGCUUGUGACUAAAAACAAACUCUCCCUGAGGCAAAUUGGUAAUGAUACAUUGAAAUCUGAUCUGGCUCGAAAGUCCCAAAUUCCGGUUACUCUUAGCUCUAUUACCACAUCCACUUCUAAAGAAACUUCUCCUAAAACCCCCUCUGUUUCUCCCACUACUAUGACUCCCCCUCCUAUUUUUGACAUUCUGUCUACUAAAGGGGUCUUACAAAAAGAUUGGAAAGACAGACUUUGGAUGAGAGAGAUAGUGGGAAAUGGGAAAAAGAAAGAACAUUAUGAAGCUUUGAUGGGACCACUUAGUGGUCCCACUGACCCCCCAUUACCCUACACAGGGGCCUACAUAGAUGGAGAAAGGAUAGUAAAUGUAAAUGGAAAAUGGACUCGCUACUGAGAUUUAUCCUUCUUGGACAGAUUAAGACGUGCUACCCCUCGUUGUCUUCCCCCUAGACCGGUAAAUGCAUUAAAGAGACAACUUAAUCAACAUAUCUCAAAGUGCUGUAAAUAUCACCCGCUCAUAGUCUAUGACCCUGAAUGACUUUUAGUUAAGAUGAAAAGAGGUAAAGAAAAAAUAGAGAGCUAAUAGCAAACUAUAUUAACCACUGUGCAGUUUCUCAAGGGCCAGCUGGCGACCACAUGUCUGGCACUUAGCUGAUUAAAUCUUGCUUGAACCCCCGCUGAUAUAAAGAUCUAGAUUAAGUUUUACUUUCUGUUCUAUUUAGAUAUGGGUAAAUAAGGGGACAACUGUAAUUUUCUGGGUAUGUGUUCAUGAGGUUCCAAGAAAUGAAAUAGCUUAGAGGAAAUGUACUUUGUCUAACAAGAAAAUAACCUUUACUUCAAUGGAAAUUGCUAAUACUGCUUAAAAUGUAAACGUGUUCCGCCCAAUGCCCCCCAGCUAUUGUAAGAGAUAUAAAAUAAAUCAGACCCUGAGACUUGCUCAGAGGGAACCUGGACAUUGCUUCUGGAGGUUCUUUCUCAUCGCCGUCCCAGGACAUCUCCCCUUCCUACCCUACAUCGACUGCAGCUGGUCUGUGGCAGGAUGCACCUGCCAGGGGUCCGCAGUGCAGGUGCCCACGCCACUUGCUCGGGGCUCCUCCAUGCUCCAAGGGAUGGACUCUGAGGACCACGAGACACCCGCCUGGGUGCUGACGUCAGGCUCCUCUGGGUGGCUGGUGCUGGGCGGAGCCCUGACCCCAGGGUGUGUUUGCUCUGUGUCGCCCACCCGUGACCCCCUCCCCACAGGGCACUGGCUCAGACACAGCCACCUCCUGCCCGAGGUGCCCCACGUCUGAUGGCAACCGAGUGUGGCAGG
Molecule: non-coding RNA, 2957 nt
Organism: Heterocephalus glaber (naked mole-rat)
Lineage: Eukaryota; Metazoa; Chordata; Mammalia; Rodentia; Bathyergidae
Source: RefSeq, a predicted model, not a curated record